This is a long non-coding RNA of Myotis brandtii (Brandt's bat), 93 nucleotides long. RefSeq lists it as uncharacterized. The record is from RefSeq and is a predicted model, not a curated record. The transcript has 3 exons. NCBI's taxonomy places the organism in Eukaryota, Metazoa, Chordata, Mammalia, Chiroptera, Vespertilionidae.
GCAGUCUCCGCGGCGAUGCGGCCCCCAGCACCAGGGCAUCUCACGGGGCGGAGAGGGGGAGACCUUCGGCCAGUCGUCCUCCCUGCCGGAUGC